CUCAGCCACUGUGUGACAGGAUCUCUGAACGUCCCCAUUUUAGAUGGUGGGACUGAGAUCCAGAGGGAAAAAUGACUCGUCCAAAUCUGCACAGCUGGGACUCAGCAGAGCCCGACACACAGUAUGGGACACAUAUCCAUGGCUCUUUACCACAGACAUUUGGGGCUCUCAAAGAUGAGAACAUCCAGCUGGAAAUGCCUCAGAGACCACCUUGUUCCACCAAUGGCCAGUCAAGGCCAGACGCACCUGAGAUCACUCAACAGGACCUCAAAUCAUGCCACCUGGAUCAGUGGGAGUCAAACACAGGAACAAUAAAAGGGGUUGCAGCCUUGCGUGAAGUACUAUACAGCAGUGAAAAGGCAUGAACGGCACCUGCGCAUGCCAGCACAAUGAGCCUGAGAAAUACGGUGGAAGGAGAAAAGGCAAGUUCCAGAAGAAACAGUCAGUGUGAUCCACUUUACAUGAAGAUUUUAAAAACACACAUUUGGUGUACACUAUUUCUCAAUAUAUACAUAUGCAUUAACAGUAAAAGAAUAAAAAUAUACUUUGAACAAGAAGCA
Non-coding RNA from Callithrix jacchus (white-tufted-ear marmoset), 560 nucleotides. The record is from RefSeq and is a predicted model, not a curated record. Lineage: Eukaryota; Metazoa; Chordata; Mammalia; Primates; Cebidae.